AAAGGUCAAUUCUGCACUCCGUUGGCCUCGUUAAAUUGAUAGUGGAAUGCAAAGGUGAAGAGAUACAGCACUGAGGAUAGACGCAAGCUCACUGGAACAAGAAAACACUGGAACAGUUUGGGAGAGUGCACCCAUGACCUGGGUAGAAAACACAUGCGAACUGAAUGGAUGGGACCCAGCUCUGUGAAGGAUACAAAGUGGAUAAAAAGAAGAAAAGAAAGAACGUAACUGCAGAAGUUCAGUCAAUCCAUAGAGAUUUUAUAACAUAAACUCUGCAGUUCUACACGCAAAUGGUUUUAACAAAUAUCAUGAUAUAUAGAUAAUAUAACACAAAGCAGGAAAAUCAAUAAAGAGCCAAAGCCCUUGAAUUAUAAAUGCCCACUAAUAAAGAAUUGGUAGAGACCUGGCCUACAUUUCUAUGACUCGAAACCUCUCUGUAGCUGCCAAGACAGUCAUUACCAGAAUAAAAAGUCAAAAAGAAAACCACACAGUUUCCUAGCUGUGUUGAAUGGUAAGAAGUAGAGAAUGGUUAUGCUCUGAAAACACACCACAUGUAGGAAAGCUACCCCAGCACUAACGUUCGCUGUCAGGAAAAGUGACCUCAGUGGAUGCCUUUUCUCAUGUUAACCCCCCCUCCACACACACACACACACACACACUUUACUG
Peromyscus maniculatus bairdii (prairie deer mouse) is the source of this 666-nucleotide non-coding RNA. Lineage: Eukaryota; Metazoa; Chordata; Mammalia; Rodentia; Cricetidae. The record is from RefSeq and is a predicted model, not a curated record.